Long non-coding RNA from Lacerta agilis (Sand lizard), 303 nucleotides. RefSeq lists it as uncharacterized. The record is from RefSeq and is a predicted model, not a curated record. NCBI's taxonomy places the organism in Eukaryota, Metazoa, Chordata, Lepidosauria, Squamata, Lacertidae. The transcript is spliced from 4 exons.
GGACAAACAUUCUUGGACUUCUUCGAGUAAGACAUCAGAGUCUCCCAUAUCUAUUUGCCUUGAGAAAAUACAAAGAACCUUGCAUGCAGGACCUUUGACUGCGACAAUGAACAAGCUGUCACUUUUGUCAAAUCGAAAGGGACUUAAUUAUUAUGUGAGCGCCAGUGGGGCAGUUUGCUAUAUAACAUCCAAAUCCUUCUACAUUGAGAUUCACCUGGAGAAGGAUGGAAAAGUGGUGGAUGUCAGGUUGGCUCACCCUGGAAAAAAACCCCUGACCUGUGAAGAUCUUUUGCAGCUUCUAAG